RNAcentral lists this small RNA (606 nucleotides) under Pan troglodytes (chimpanzee). RNAcentral describes it as "retained intron". Lineage: Eukaryota; Metazoa; Chordata; Mammalia; Primates; Hominidae. The record is from RNAcentral.
CCAUUCUGCAGUCGUGAGAGAGCAAAGCACAGAGAAAUUAAGUAACCUGCCCAAGGUCACACAGCCAGGAAGCAGGAGGGAUUGAAGGGUGGGGCCUGCACUGGGGCAGUGACUGUGUGCAGGCAGAGAAGGGGAGAGGGCCCAGAGCCUUCCAGGGGCUACAUCAGUGGGUGUGAGCUCUCCGGGAUGGGAACACACGAGCCAGCGAGGUCAGAUACACCAAGCCCUUUGCCUCCCCAGCUCGGAAGCAGCUCCCGAAACGGACCAUUCAGGAAGUCCUGGAAGAGCAGAGUGAGGAUGAGGACAGAGAAGCCAAGAGGAAGAAGGAGGAGGAAGAAGCGGAGACCCCGAAAGAAAGCCUCACAGAGGCUGAAGUGGCAACAGAGAAGGAAGGAGAAGACAGGGACCAGGCCACCACGCCUCCCAAGCCCCUAAAGACCUCCAAAGCAGAGACCCCGACGGAAAGCGUUUCAGAGCCUGAGGUGGCCACGAAGCAGGAACUGCAGGAGGAGGAAGAGCAGACCAAGCCUCCCCGCAGAGCUCCCAGGACGCUCAGCAGCUUCUUCACCCCCCGGAAGCCAGCAAUCAAAAAAGAAGUGAAGGAAG